Molecule: ribosomal RNA, 497 nt
Filed under: uncultured bacterium
Lineage: Bacteria
Description: partial 16S ribosomal RNA
Rfam family: Bacterial small subunit ribosomal RNA
Source: RNAcentral
GAUGAACGCUGGCGGCGUGCCUAAUACAUGCAAGUCGAGCGAACAGACGAGGAGCUUGCUCCUCUGACGUUAGCGGCGGACGGGUGAGUAACACGUGGAUAACCUACCUAUAAGACUGGGAUAACUUCGGGAAACCGGAGCUAAUACCGGAUAAUAUAUUGAACCGCAUGGUUCAAUAGUGAAAGACGGUUUUGCUGUCACUUAUAGAUGGAUCCGCGCCGCAUUAGCUAGUUGGUAAGGUAACGGCUUACCAAGGCAACGAUGCGUAGCCGACCUGAGAGGGUGAUCGACCACACUGGAACUGAGACACGGUCCAGACUCCUACGGGAGGCAGCAGUAGGGAAUCUUCCGCAAUGGGCGAAAGCCUGACGGAGCAACGCCGCGUGAGUGGUGAAGGUCUUCGGAUCGUAAAACUCUGUUAUUAGGGAAGAACAAAUGUGUAAGUAACUAUGCACGUCUUGACGGUACCUAAUCAGAAAGCCACGGCUAACUACGUG